CUCUGCUUCAGCUGUGGGGCCACAGAAGGCAGGAUUCAGGGAUGGUCUCCACCAUGGCUUGGUCCCCUCUCCUGCUCACCCUCCUCGCUCACUGCACAGGGUCCUGGGCCCAGUCUGUGCUGACUCAGCCUCCCUCAGUGUCUGGGAACCCAGGACAGAAGGUCACCAUCUCCUGCACUGGAAGCAGCUCCAACAUUGGGGGUAAUUAUGUGCAGUGGUACCAACAGGUCCCAGGAAAGGCCCCCAAACUUUUCAUAUAUUAUGAUAGCGAUCGUGAGUCUGGAGUUCCUGAACGAUUUUCUGGCUCCAAGUCUGGCAGCUCAGCCACCUUGACCAUCACUGGGCUCCAGGCUGAGGAUGAAGCCGAUUAUUACUGCCAGACCUAUGAUGAUGAUCUUGAUGCUCACACAGUGCUGCAGGGUUAUGGGGAAGUGAGACAAGAACCCCUGUGGCAUCUGUGAGCUGGGUGAACACUGCAGCAGCUGCUGCUCAGGCUCGGCCUGUGCCCUGUGACCUCUGCUCAUUCUCUGGCUGCUGUACUGACCCAGGUUCACCCAGGGACACUGUCUGGGACAAAAGGGUUCUCCUCUCUCUUCUGUCUUUAAUGUCACUCACGGCACCACUUUCCUAGACUAAGGGUCCAAAAAUAACUGAAAGACCAAGUCCCCCCAGCUGGGGACAGUUGAGUUUCAGACUGGUUUGUAUUCAUUGUUCUGUGUAAUGGGUAACACAAAUGUAACAUUGUGUUGGGCUCCUGAACCUACCAUGGGGCCUCAGAACCACGUGUGCUGUACGUGAAGGAUGAGUCAGUGUUUCCUGGGGUCUCGUAUUAUAAUGUUCUUCACUGUGUCAGUGGUGAACUGCUUUGUUUUCUCUUCCGACUUUUAGUACAAAAUACAGUCUUUAAAAAGUAUAAUUUAGAACAAUUUGGUGGUGUCCAGACAUGGGGGAGGAAGGGGUUGGUCCAUGUGGGUAAAGGGAGUCCAAGGGCACAAAGUUCCAGUUUUGAAUUAAAUGCUCCUGGGGACGUCACGGACAGCACGGGGAUUAGGGUGGAGAUGCUGUGAUCGUGUGAGUGUGAACGCAGCUGAACAAGCAGAUCCCAAACAUUCUCAGCACAAUAAAUGUUACAAAUUGUAUCUAUGUAGUGACAGAUGUCAACUACACACAAUCUCAUGGUUCAUUUUUUGCAAUAUAUCCAUAUAGAACAAUAAUGCUGUAUUCUUAAAACUAAAAUAGCAUUGUAUGU
This is a non-coding RNA of Artibeus jamaicensis (Jamaican fruit-eating bat), 1249 nucleotides long. Lineage: Eukaryota; Metazoa; Chordata; Mammalia; Chiroptera; Phyllostomidae. The record is from the annotation of a RefSeq genome assembly.